UCCCUGGUAGCUCAGCCAGUAAAGAAUCUGCCUGCAAAGCAGGAGACCCCGGUUCAAUUUCUGGGUUGGGAAG
Molecule: non-coding RNA, 73 nt
Organism: Bos taurus (domestic cattle)
Lineage: Eukaryota; Metazoa; Chordata; Mammalia; Artiodactyla; Bovidae
Source: Rfam